AGAGUUUGAUCCUGGCUCAGGAUGAACGCUGGCGGUGCGUUUUAGGCAUGCAAGUCGAGCGAUCAGCCAUUGGCUGAGAGCGGCAGACGGGUGAGUAACGCGUAGGCAUCUACCCAUCAGUGGGGAUAGCCCUCCGAAAGGAGGUGUAAUCCCGCAUAUUAUCCGGUGUUUCACCGGAUGAAAGUCUUCGGACGCUGACGGAGGAGCCUGCGUGCUAUCAGCUUGUUGGUGAGGUAAUGGCUCACCAAGGCUAUGACGGCUAGGGGGCGUGAGAGCGUGGCCCCCCACAAGGUCACUGAGACACGGGGCCUACACCUACGGGUGGCAGC
This 329-nucleotide ribosomal RNA is filed under the name uncultured bacterium. Its description in RNAcentral is "bacterial SSU rRNA". It matches the Rfam family "Bacterial small subunit ribosomal RNA", at positions 8 to 352 of the family's 1533-position model. The record is from RNAcentral.